This is a long non-coding RNA of Perca fluviatilis (European perch), 243 nucleotides long. RefSeq lists it as uncharacterized. The record is from RefSeq and is a predicted model, not a curated record. The transcript has 3 exons. NCBI's taxonomy places the organism in Eukaryota, Metazoa, Chordata, Actinopteri, Perciformes, Percidae.
GAUGACGAGGCACCGUUGGACGUAGGCCGAGUUUCAGCUUGAGUGGGAGGCGGUGGAGGGGCGGUUUUAGCUGAAAAUGCAGUUUUUAGACAGAAUCCUGUAAAACAAAAAAAGCCCGGCCGUGCAUCCUUAAGACAACAGGCAUGUCCUACCUUGAUGUUGUACUCCCAAAGCAUCCUCAAGAAGUCCAGUACUGUGUGAGGCAGAGGACCCUGAGUAGCAAUGUAGGCCUUGGAACCUGAC